This 585-nucleotide ribosomal RNA is filed under the name uncultured bacterium. RNAcentral describes it as "bacterial SSU rRNA". It matches the Rfam family "Bacterial small subunit ribosomal RNA", at positions 338 to 916 of the family's 1533-position model. The record is from RNAcentral.
CCUACGGGAGGCAGCAGUGGGGAAUAUUGGACAAUGGGGGCAACCCUGAUCCAGCAAUGCCGCGUGUGUGAAGAAGGCCUUCGGGUUGUAAAGCACUUUCGAUGGGGAAAAACAAGCCAGACCUAACACGUCUGGCCCUGAUGGUACCCAGAGAAGAAGCACCGGCUAACUCUGUGCCAGCAGCCGCGGUAAUACAGAGGGUGCAAGCGUUAAUCGGAAUUACUGGGCGUAAAGGGUGCGUAGGUGGUUUGUUAAGUCAGGCGUGAAAUCCCUGGGCUCAACCUGGGAACUGCGUUUGAUACUGGCAGACUCGAGUCUGGUAGAGGGUAGUGGAAUUCCGCAUGUAGCGGUGAAAUGCGUAGAUAUGCGGAGGAACAUCAGUGGCGAAGGCGGCUACCUGGACCAAGACUGACACUGAGGCACGAAAGCGUGGGGAUCAAACAGGAUUAGAUACCCUGGUAGUCCACGCCCUAAACGAUGGGUACUAGACGUUGGGAGGUUUAUCCUCUUGGUGUCGCAGCUAACGCAAUAAGUACCCCGCCUGGGGAGUACGGUCGCAAGAUUAAAACUCAAAGGAAUUGACGG